Molecule: ribosomal RNA, 486 nt
Filed under: uncultured bacterium
Lineage: Bacteria
Description: bacterial SSU rRNA
Rfam family: Bacterial small subunit ribosomal RNA
Source: RNAcentral
GGUCCUAUGGAUUGUAAACUGCUUUUAUACAGGAAGAAACCCUACCUCGUGAGGUAGCUUGACGGUACUGUAAGAAUAAGGAUCGGCUAACUCCGUGCCAGCAGCCGCGGUAAUACGGAGGAUCCAAGCGUUAUCCGGAAUCAUUGGGUUUAAAGGGUCCGUAGGCGGUUUAGUAAGUCAGUGGUGAAAGCCCAUCGCUCAACGGUGGAACGGCCAUUGAUACUGCUAGACUUGAAUUAUUAGGAAGUAACUAGAAUAUGUAGUGUAGCGGUGAAAUGCUUAGAGAUUACAUGGAAUACCAAUUGCGAAGGCAGGUUACUACUAAUUGAUUGACGCUGAUGGACGAAAGCGUGGGUAGCGAACAGGAUUAGAUACCCUGGUAGUCCACGCCGUAAACGAUGGAUACUAGCUGUUGGGAGCAAUUUCAGUGGCUAAGCGAAAGUGAUAAGUAUCCCACCUGGGGAGUACGUUCGCAAGAAUGAAACU